AGUGGACGCUGGCGGUAGGCCUAACACAUGCAAGUCGAACGGCAGCACAGUAAGAGCUUGCUCUUACGGGUGGCGAGUGGCGGACGGGUGAGGAAUACAUCGGAAUCUACUUUUUCGUGGGGGAUAACGUAGGGAAACUUACGCUAAUACCGCAUACGACCUACGGGUGAAAGCAGGGGAUCUUCGGACCUUGCGCGAUUGAAUGAGCCGAUGUCGGAUUAGCUAGUUGGCGGGGUAAAGGCCCACCAAGGCGACGAUCCGUAGCUGGUCUGAGAGGAUGAUCAGCCACACUGGAACUGAGACACGGUCCAGACUCCUACGGGAGGCAGCAGUGGGGAAUAUUGGACAAUGGGCGCAAGCCUGAUCCGGCCAUACCGCGUGGGUGAAGAAGGCCUUCGGGUUGUAAAGCCCUUUUGUUGGGAAAGAAAAGCAGCAGGUUAAUACCCCGCUGUUCUGACGGUACCCAAAGAAUAAGCACCGGCUAACUUCGUG
RNAcentral lists this ribosomal RNA (492 nucleotides) under uncultured bacterium. Its description in RNAcentral is "partial 16S ribosomal RNA". It matches the Rfam family "Bacterial small subunit ribosomal RNA", at positions 29 to 507 of the family's 1533-position model. The record is from RNAcentral.